GGUCAGUAGGACUGUUCCUGUCUGUACUAGAUAACCAGGUCUGUAAUCCACUCUGGUGAUUGGUCAGUAGGACUGUUCCUGUCUGUACUAGAUAACCAGGUCUCUAAUCCACUCUGGUGAUUGGUCAGUAGGACUGUUCCUGUCUGUACUAGAUAACCAGGUCUCUAAUCCACUCUGGUGAUUGGUCAGUAGGGCUGUUCCUGUCUGUACUAGAUAACCAGGUCUAUAAUCCACUCUGGUGAUUGGUCAGUAGGACUGUUCCUGUCUGUACUAGAUAACCAGGUCUCUAAUCCACUCUGGUGAUUGGUCAGUAGGACUGUUCCUGUCUGUACUAGAUAACCAGGUCUAUAAUCC
This 354-nucleotide long non-coding RNA is filed under the name Salmo salar (Atlantic salmon). RNAcentral's name for it is "lncRNA (ENSSSAG00000111262.1)". The record is from RNAcentral. Lineage: Eukaryota; Metazoa; Chordata; Actinopteri; Salmoniformes; Salmonidae.